CUCUCGGAGGAGGCCGACUCGGUGGUUUGGCCGCUUACGGCCUCUGGUACAUUCUCGGUCAAAUUGCUGUACUCUAGACUGAUUGGUGGUACUUCUUCGGGUAGAUUCUCUUGUGUUUGGAAAUCUAAGGUCCCUCCUAAGAUUAAGAUUUUCCUCUGGCAAGCCUUCCGUGGUCGCCUCCCUUCUGCUGAUCAGAUCAAAAAACGCAACGGGCCGGGCUCGGAAUUCUGUAACUUGUGUGGGGCUUUGGAAAACUCUAAUCACAUCUUUUUCAACUGUGUUCUCGCCAAAUUAGUUUGGGCUUGCGUCAGAUCCUGGCUUCGGGUCUCCUGA
This 333-nucleotide ribosomal RNA is filed under the name Triticum aestivum (bread wheat). Its description in RNAcentral is "partial small subunit ribosomal RNA". Lineage: Eukaryota; Viridiplantae; Streptophyta; Magnoliopsida; Poales; Poaceae. The record is from RNAcentral.